CUCCUGUUAUCACUCCUGUUAUCACCGCACCUGAUCGCCUCACCUGAUCGCCUUUUAGCUGGAUCGUGCAGCUCGCCGUUGUUUGGCAGUUCAUUGGCCGGGUCUUCCUUCUCCCGUAUCGACCCCAGUUCUAGGGCGUGCGAGUGUUUUCCUCCUCUACCUGUUGCAGCGGGGAGCGAUCAGCUGAUUGAUCGAGUUGCACUUGUAAUUGUGCUGCUCGGUACAAGUGAUCCCCUUCCUCCCCUUUGAUGUUCAUUCAACUCCUGACGGGUUGACGUGUGUGUGUGGGCGGUUUCUGCCAGCACGUUCCCCCCCCCCUCUUCACGCUGCUGUUGGCCGGCUGCUGUUUUGUCCACUGGUUUAUAUAGCCAACACAUCCAUCCUACUCUGCAUCUCCUACUGUGCUGUACCUGCCACCGAGUAUGGUGAUUGCUGCCUCAACCUCAGUCUCAUUAUCUUAAUCUAUUAAUUUAACCGACUUCUAACUGAUCUUAUUGAUGAUAUUAUUUGUAUUUUGUGGGUUGCUUUGCAUGUUUGUUUUGGUUUAAUUCGUUUUCUUAGUUAUUUUGGUUUGGCUUAAUUGCUUUACUUAUUCAUUUGGAUUUAUCAGUUUGGAUAAAUCUCCAUUGUUUUGAUUUAAUUUCUUUGUUAGUUUUCUUUUGGUUUGCAUUUAUUGGGGUUGUUUAAGUUGUGGGUUGACACGAUUUAACCCUGAUUUAAACCCCAUUUAGUUAAUUGCCCUCUCCUUUUUGUGUUUGUGUGUGUG
Long non-coding RNA from Gadus chalcogrammus (walleye pollock), 766 nucleotides. RefSeq lists it as uncharacterized. Lineage: Eukaryota; Metazoa; Chordata; Actinopteri; Gadiformes; Gadidae. The transcript is spliced from 3 exons. The record is from RefSeq and is a predicted model, not a curated record.